GCUCACUGUGCCAGACAGAACAUCAGUCCAAGAAAUUGAAGGGAGCUUAGCCCCGUGAUGAAAAAAACUCAAUUGAAAUGGGAAGAUGAAUUGCCAGGUCAGUGCAGGACUGUCUGAGCCCCAACUGGCUCUUUGCCUCAGUACAACCCUGAUAAUUAAGCUGGAAGAAGAAAGCAGUGCCAACCAGCAAAUACAAGAGACAUGACCAGAAGUUGAUAAGGAACCAUAUAUCCAUCUCCUAUUGAACUAAACAUGAGCUGAUUUGGGCCCAAGGAGAAUAGUAACCGGUCAUGUAUACUCUCAUCAGAAAUGAAAGAAAAUGUUUCCCUUUUCCUGCGUAAAGGCAUAAACAGUGUGACUGCAACUCAGCAAAAGUUGUGAGGAAAAAUCAAAG
This is a long non-coding RNA of Mauremys reevesii (Reeves's turtle), 394 nucleotides long. RefSeq lists it as uncharacterized. Lineage: Eukaryota; Metazoa; Chordata; Testudines; Geoemydidae. The transcript is spliced from 4 exons. The record is from RefSeq and is a predicted model, not a curated record.